RNAcentral lists this ribosomal RNA (468 nucleotides) under uncultured bacterium. RNAcentral's name for it is "partial 16S ribosomal RNA". It matches the Rfam family "Bacterial small subunit ribosomal RNA", at positions 28 to 507 of the family's 1533-position model. The record is from RNAcentral.
GACGAACGCUGGCGGCGUGCUUAACACAUGCAAGUCGAACGGAAAGGCCCUGCCUUUGUGGGCUGCUCGAGUGGCGAACGGGGGAGUAACCCGUGAGUAACCUGCCCCUGACUGUGGGAUAACUUCAGGAAACUGGGGCUCGUCCCGGCUAGGAGCUCCUGCUGCAUGGUGGGGGUUGGUAAGUUUCGGCGGUUGGGGAUGGACUCGCGGCGUAUCAGCUUGUUGGUGGGGUAGUGGAUUACCAAGGCUUGGACGGGUAGCCGGCCUGCGAGGGGAACAGGCCACACUGGGACUGAGAUACGGCCCAGACUCGUACCGGAGGCAGCAGUGGGGAAUAUUACACAAUGGGCGGAAGGCUGGUGCGGCAACGCAGCGUGCGGGAUGACGGCCUGCGGGUAGUAAACCGCUUUCGCCUGUGACGAAGCGUGAGUGACGGUAAUGGGUGAAGAAGCACCGGCUAACUACGUG